CAAAGGAAUUGACGGGGACCCGCACAAGCGGUGGAGCAUGUGGUUUAAUUCGAAGCAACGCGAAGAACCUUACCAACUCUUGACAUCCCCCUGACCGGUACAGAGAUGUACCUUCCCCUUCGGGGGCAGGGGUGACAGGUGGUGCAUGGUUGUCGUCAGCUCGUGUCGUGAGAUGUUGGGUUAAGUCCCGCAACGAGCGCAACCCUUGUCCUUAGUUGCCAGCAUUUAGUUGGGCACUCUAAGGAGACUGCCGGUGACAAACCGGAGGAAGGUGGGGAUGACGUCAAAUCAUCAUGCCCCUUAUGAGUUGGGCUACACACGUGCUACAAUGGACGGUACAAAGGGCAGCGAAGCCGCGAGGUGGAGCCAAUCCCAGAAAGCCGUUCUCAGUUCGGAUUGCAGGCUGCAACUCGCCUGCAUGAAGUCGGAAUCGCUAGUAAUCGCAGGUCAGCAUACUGCGGUGAAUACGUUCCCGGGUCUUGUACACACCGCCCGUCACACCACGAGAGUUUGUAACACCCGAAGUCGGU
Molecule: ribosomal RNA, 530 nt
Filed under: Exiguobacterium sp. m5-64
Lineage: Bacteria; Bacillati; Bacillota; Bacilli; Caryophanales
Also listed under: 1 other name
Description: bacterial SSU rRNA
Rfam family: Bacterial small subunit ribosomal RNA
Source: RNAcentral